RNAcentral lists this unclassified non-coding RNA (297 nucleotides) under fungal sp. RNAcentral's name for it is "partial internal transcribed spacer region". The stretch from base 1 to 46 matches the Rfam family "Eukaryotic small subunit ribosomal RNA", at positions 1786 to 1831 of the family's 1831-position model. Lineage: Eukaryota; Fungi. The record is from RNAcentral.
AAGUCGUAACAAGGUAACCGUAGGUGAACCUGCGGUUGGAUCAUUAUAAAACUUUGGAUUCGUUUGGAAAGAACGCUCGGAUCUCUGUGACCAGUUUUCAAGUACGAAUGAAACUCCCUUUCGAAAAGGGGGUACCCACAUUGUGUGAACCUGUACAUUUCCCUCUCCGGGGAUGUCUUGUGCUCAACUUUUGUGUUUUGGGGAAUGCUUCUGAGAGUUCGACUGGGGCAGAUGUUCCGGUCUUUUUUGAACACAAUCAUUCAAAAACAACUUUUGGCAACGGAUCUCUUGGCUCUC